UUUCUCUUUUUCAGUUUUAGAUCCAACUUACUGUCCACCAGAAAGAGCUAUCCAAAUCAACUGAUGAAAGAAGGUGGGAGGGAAGGAAGGAAAGAGAAAAAAAGAAAGAGAAAGAUCCUUGUAACAAUUAUGCAUAGUUAAGCAACAUGAACUCCACCAUUUGUCAUGUCCAAAAUAUGUGCCUCAUUCUGCAUGUUGAGCCCAUCACCAUGUUGAAAGAUGGGACAGUAGAAGGGACAAGGAUAUCUGAAAAAUAAAAAAGUGGAUCAAGAAAGAGAAAGAAGGUGGUGUAAAGAAGAAAAAGGAGGAGGGGACUUUGUUCCAGAUAGACAUAGAAUGCCUGAAAACAAGUCUCUGCAGGAAUCUUGUUAGGGAUGCACCUGUGUCUGGGGAGAAGCUGAAAAAUUGAAGAUGUGAAUGUAAAGAUGGAGGAGAUAAAGACACAAAGGACCAACAGAGAUGGAGAAGAAAGAGGGCUGGGCAGGAAAAGAGAGCAGGUUGGAAAUGUAUGCUUCUUUGUAUCACUCAGUGCUUAGCAUAAUGCCUAUCACCUGCAAAGCACAUUUUAAAAAUCCCAUCUACUUUGUCUCCCCAGCAUUGAGUAUAGUGUCUCUGCUUAGUCAAUGUUCAUUUAUUCUUUUCCAGGGGAGAAAGAAGACUGAGCAGUGACCCUAGAGACAGAGACCUAGAUUUUAAUUCUAGCUUUUCUCCUUCCUAUCUAUAUGACCCAAGAAUUAUUACAACUCAAUUUCUUUAAAAUGAAAAGUGAUAUUAGAUGAUCUUUAAGUGCUGGUAAUGAUUAAACACAAGUUUUCCAAAACAGAACACCACACUUUCAAAUAUAAUCUAUGUUAUUAACAUUUCCCCCCACACUUUCUUAAGCCUAGACAAUCAACUAAACAAUAAAUCAAGGCUAAUUUGUAGUGUUUAUCUAUUUCAAGGGUAUAAAUGCCUCAAGUGAAAAUUUUACAAAAGGUUUUUUUAAAAAGUGAGCUGUUUUUAGCAAACCUUUGGGAGUCAGUGAUUCUCACUAAAUAGAACUUUAAGGAACCAGCACAGGUCCUGAAGUGCCAGUUGGAGCAGGAGGGACGGCAAAAGCUCCAGUGGAAACAAGCAGAGUCUGAAGAGGCAACUACAGAACUAUUCAACACUUGACUUUUUACUUCUUAG
This 1170-nucleotide long non-coding RNA is filed under the name Sarcophilus harrisii (Tasmanian devil). Its description in RNAcentral is "lncRNA (ENSSHAG00000024085.1)". The record is from RNAcentral. Lineage: Eukaryota; Metazoa; Chordata; Mammalia; Dasyuromorphia; Dasyuridae.